This 390-nucleotide ribosomal RNA is filed under the name Triticum aestivum (bread wheat). Its description in RNAcentral is "partial small subunit ribosomal RNA". Lineage: Eukaryota; Viridiplantae; Streptophyta; Magnoliopsida; Poales; Poaceae. The record is from RNAcentral.
AUGCAAGACUACUUCGUGGACAAUCCAACAUAUCCGCCACACCUCUUCUGGAGAAGGUACCGAAUGUGCCGGUCCCUCUUUGUAAAAAUAGUUCAAACUUGUGAGGCCAAUUGUCGUUAUUUUACUCAAAGAAGAAAUCUCGCGGGCUUGAAGGGAUUUAGUGCAUAUCAAAAAAUCUCGGCAGCUAUGCGAGUAAUUGCAUAUGGCAUUCCGGCUGACUAUGCCGAUGAGUACCUUCGCAUUGGUGAAGAUACUACAAUUGAGUCAGUGCGUAGGUUUGCCAAAGUGAUCAUCUGUGUCUUUUGUCCUGAAUAUCUCCGGGCACCCAACGAGGAAGACAAACAAAAAUUGAUGGCACCUAUGAGAGCAGAGGUUGGCAUGGCAUGCUAG